Molecule: ribosomal RNA, 789 nt
Filed under: uncultured bacterium
Lineage: Bacteria
Description: bacterial SSU rRNA
Rfam family: Bacterial small subunit ribosomal RNA
Source: RNAcentral
AGAGUUUGAUCAUGGCUCAGGACGAACGCUGGCGGCGUGCUUAACACAUGCAAGUCGAACGGAAAGGCCCCUUCGGGGGUACUCGAGUGGCGAACGGGUGAGUAACACGUGGGUGAUCUGCCCUGCACUUUGGGAUAAGCCUGGGAAACUGGGUCUAAUACCGAAUAGGACCGCAUGCUUCAUGGUGUGUGGUGGAAAGCUUUUGCGGUGUGGGAUGGGCCCGCGGCCUAUCAGCUUGUUGGUGGGGUAAUGGCCUACCAAGGCGACGACGGGUAGCCGGCCUGAGAGGGUGUCCGGCCACACUGGGACUGAGAUACGGCCCAGACUCCUACGGGAGGCAGCAGUGGGGAAUAUUGCACAAUGGGCGCAAGCCUGAUGCAGCGACGCCGCGUGGGGGAUGACGGCCUUCGGGUUGUAAACCUCUUUCAGUAUCGGCGAAGCUCCAGGAUUUUUCUUGGGGUGACGGUAGGUACAGAAGAAGCACCGGCCAACUACGUGCCAGCAGCCGCGGUAAUACGUAGGGUGCGAGCGUUGUCCGGAAUUACUGGGCGUAAAGAGCUCGUAGGUGGUUUGUCACGUUGUCUGCGAAAACUCACAGCUUAACUGUGGGCGUGCGGGCGAUACGGGCAGACUGGAGUACUGUAGGGGAGACUGGAAUUCCUGGUGUAGCGGUGGAAUGCGCAGAUAUCAGGAGGAACACCGGUGGCGAAGGCGGGUCUCCGGGCAGUAACUGACGCUGAGGAGCGAAAGCGUGGGGAGCGAACAGGAUUAGAUACCCUGGUAGUCCAA